RNAcentral lists this small RNA (101 nucleotides) under Mytilus galloprovincialis (Mediterranean mussel). Lineage: Eukaryota; Metazoa; Mollusca; Bivalvia; Mytilida; Mytilidae. The record is from RNAcentral.
GAGACAAAAUUGACAUUUGUGAGACAAAAUUGACUUUUGUGAGAAAAAAUUUACAAAAUUGAAUUUUGUCUCACAAAAUUGACUUUUGUCUCACAAAAUUG